Long non-coding RNA from Paramacrobiotus metropolitanus, 606 nucleotides. RefSeq lists it as uncharacterized. The transcript has 3 exons. Lineage: Eukaryota; Metazoa; Tardigrada; Eutardigrada; Parachela; Macrobiotidae. The record is from RefSeq and is a predicted model, not a curated record.
UAAUGCAUCUUCACAAUUCGACGAUCUAAAUAUUCGAACCACCAUGGAAAUUUCCAGUUAUGAUCGUGGAGAACUGACUUUGGACACCUCGAACAAGAGCUCUGAACCGGCAGCGACUAUCGCUUUCAAGGAUGGCGUGCUGCGGGAAGCUUUCGAGGAACUCAAACGAACGGCCAACGAAACAGGCGUGAAAUUCGCAUUCUCCUUGUCUGCGAUGCCAGCGUUUAAGUUCGCCCGAUCUAUUCCAGUGAACGAAGUACGGGAAAAGUCAGGUCCAUUGGUUCUAUUGGCGUCUGUAGGGCAUAGCUUGAAGCGAAAAGACAUCAUCACCAUCCGGCACAACGUCGACCAGUUGUUUAAUUAUCCAUCAGGAGCCAGAAGGAACCAUGAAUGCAUUUUCCUGGACUACACGUCCAAAACUUGGGUGCAGAAAAGGAUGGGUGCAGAAUGUCAGCUAAAUAUCCAAAAUGGGAUAGCACGAUUGUGGAAUGCACCUGUGAUCAUCUGACGCCAUUCUCGCUGCUAUUGACGUUGUGUGGCAGUUUGUCGACUUCUUUCGCUCCCACCGAUGAAUCCUUCACUCCAGACUUGGCCAUCGUGACCAUA